AGUUCUUUGCGUUAUCAAUGAAAAUACUGUGAACAGAUAAACAUAAACUUUCUUGCAAGUAGUUACAUUACAAAUCAGUAUGCGAGAAAGCAUGGAACGACAACUAUGCUUAUUAAUGUUUUAAGUGCACUUUUUUGUUAAUAUGGUGCAAGAUCACGUGACUGUGGGGUUCCCAAUUAAACGUUAAUUGACGUUAACACACCGCAAUGAUCAACAACAUUGGUGGUCCAGGAACGGUUAAUUACUUUUUGUCAACACUGUAUGUUCCAAUGAUCAUUUGAACUUAAAGAAAAUGGAAAUACAUGCGGGAAGGACGUACAUUCAUCAAGUUUCAACUAUCUCCUUUAUAGCAGACAGGCUUAUAAGAUGGAAACGAAAAACAACUUUGAGAAGGCUUAUUGAAGCCAAAUUUAUAAGAAAGGACCAAAUAUUUUUACUUUAAUAUAUAACAAGAGGACCUGAAAGGCCCAAAGUCGCUCACCUGAGAUUCAAAGGAACUGACCUGUUCUGUGCAGCCCAAGAUGUCUUUAGAACAAAAUGUUCUUACCAACUUUCAUGACUAGUGAACACCCUGGCAGUCACGUUUUUCAACAGACCAGAACCAUUUUCAUACACAUCCAAGAUAUCAUUUAAACAAAUAUACUGACAAAGUUUCAUGAAGAUUCAUAGGUCCAUAUAAAGAAAAAAUGCCCGCCCACUGGUGGCCAUGUUUUUCAAGCAACUGGAACCAUUUUCGAACUUGUCCAAAAUAUAAUUGGGACAAAUCUUCUGACAAAGUUUCAUGCUGAUUGUACAAUAAAUAUGGCUUCUAGAGUGUUAACAAGGUAUAACUAUAGCUAUAUAAGGAAAAAUGCCACGCCCCCUUGGCGGCCAUGUUUUUCCACCAACUGAAACCAUUUUCAAACUCAUCCAAGAUAUCAUUGGGACAAAUCAUCUGAUAAAGUUUCAUGAUGAUCGGACAAUAAAUGUGGCCUCUAGAGUGUUAACAAGGUUUUACUAAAGCAUGAUAAUAUAUAGCCAUAUUAGGAAAAAUGCCCCGCCCCCUGGUGGCUAUAUUUUUUAAGCAAACUAAACCAUUUUCGAACUCAUCCAAGAUAUCAUAAGGACAAAUCUUCUGACUAAGUUUCAUUAAGAUCGGAAAAUAAAUGUGGCCUUUAGAGUGUCAACAAGGUUUUACUUUAAAGCCAUAUAAGGAAAAAUGCCCCGCCCCCUGGUGGCCAUGUUUUUCAACCAACCGACAUCAUUUUUUAAACUUGUCUAAGAUAUUACAUGUAUUGGGAUGAAUCUUCUGACCAAGUUUCAUGAAAAUCGGACAAUAAAUGUGGCCUCUAGAGUGUUAACAAGAUUUAACUAUAGCCAUAUAUAGCCAUAUAAGGAAAAAUGCCCCGCCCCUUGGCAGCCAUAUUUUUCAGGCAAACAUAA
This is a long non-coding RNA of Dreissena polymorpha, 1422 nucleotides long. RefSeq lists it as uncharacterized. The transcript is spliced from 3 exons. NCBI's taxonomy places the organism in Eukaryota, Metazoa, Mollusca, Bivalvia, Myida, Dreissenidae. The record is from RefSeq and is a predicted model, not a curated record.